Long non-coding RNA from Passer domesticus (house sparrow), 712 nucleotides. RefSeq lists it as uncharacterized. The transcript is spliced from 3 exons. The record is from RefSeq and is a predicted model, not a curated record. Lineage: Eukaryota; Metazoa; Chordata; Aves; Passeriformes; Passeridae.
AACACAAGGGAUAUAACAGAAAAGAUACUAGGAAGAAAAAUUCAACCACCUGCCUUAACAAUUUUGGAACAAUUCCUGGUGCUCCACAUCCUCACAGUCCUGGAAUACCAGCUUUGUUUAGCAGCAAACCUCAUUUGCUUCUCACAAGUUGCCUGAGAGGGAGGGAUUUAUGAAAGCAGCAUCAGAACCCCAGGCUCAACAGGGACAAGUGCCUCUGCAGUCCAAAACACCCACUUGAGGACAGGUGAGGUGAAAGAGAAAGACCAGAAGAAAGAAGAAGAAAUAUAAAGAAUCACAAAACUAUACCCCUGAAUUUGAAGCACACCUAUUUUCCACUCAAGAAAGUUCCCAGAGCUAUAGAUAUGCAGGGAUAAUGACUAAUUAGGCACCAUGAGAGUAUUAGAAGUACGUGUUAUUCAUGCUGGCCUUGUUCUGCUGCCAAAGAAGACAGUGCUGAUACCCACUUUGGUUUCUAAUCAAAGCACAGGUGGCCUUAUUUGACUUCAAAUUUUUUGCCCAUCCUACUGAAACACGAGUGCAGCAAACUCCUCUCAUGUGCACAGGAAAGACUCCAGCUUACUGCAUCUCUGUAAGGCCUCCUAAGGUGAACAUCUAUACUGAGGGGAUAUUUAUGCCCAAGCUAUCAAGUGCUACGUUGGCCCACUCUGGGAGGUAAAGAGAUGCUGUACUGAGCACAGGAGCUCUGAAAGAA